UACUUUGAGGGCAUCAAACAGACCUUUGGCUAUGGUGCAUGCUUGUUUUAGGGCCAGCAACAGGGGUUCUGGCCCUGUUGAAACUUUAGUCCAGCCCUCUCGCAAUGGCUUGUGACUCACAGGAUUGCACCAUCCCCACUGCUAACUUGGGGCUGGGGCCUCCCUUUCACAGAUACCUUGGGUUUGUGCAUGUUUUCUGCUGGGUGGGAUCUGAGGGUGAUUUCUCUUUUACCUGUACAUAUGCUAAGUAAACAGAAUUUUAAAGGCAAAAAAAAAAAA
Molecule: long non-coding RNA, 279 nt
Filed under: Mus musculus (house mouse)
Lineage: Eukaryota; Metazoa; Chordata; Mammalia; Rodentia; Muridae
Description: predicted gene, 49207
Source: RNAcentral